RNAcentral lists this microRNA (23 nucleotides) under Mus musculus (house mouse). RNAcentral's name for it is "mmu-miR-6911-5p". Lineage: Eukaryota; Metazoa; Chordata; Mammalia; Rodentia; Muridae. The record is from miRBase by way of RNAcentral.
UGGGCUGAGUGGGUCUGUGGCAU